Molecule: long non-coding RNA, 1172 nt
Filed under: Olea europaea subsp. europaea
Lineage: Eukaryota; Viridiplantae; Streptophyta; Magnoliopsida; Lamiales; Oleaceae
Source: RNAcentral
AAAUUUUGUAAACAAAUAAGCAAUAUACAAAUAAUUUCCAGGCCUCAAACAUUUAAUUAUGCAUUUGUAAACAAAUAAUAUACGAAUCUUUACUGUUGCCAAUAUUUUCACUAUGUACUGCAUCAAAAUCUAGAGAAAUUCGAAGCUCAAAUCAAUAGCUCUGCUGUCAAUUAUGCAUUUGCAAGUAAAGAUUCUUGUGAAAGUAAAGAUUUCUUUAUUCAAAACCUGCAAUAAGCUUGCCCUCAAAAUUUCCACUUCGAAAGUGUAGCAGCAAUUUACACUUUUCUUUAAGAAACCCCAAAAGACUGCCUUUCCUUCUGCCCAUGAGCAAAUUUGGAGAAUUCCUGUACAAAUUCAGUGCCUUCACUAAAAAAAAAAUGUCACAACUAUUUAACCAUAACCCUGCUAUCAUUUAUGUAUUUGCAAGUAAGCAGAAACACACAUUAACUUGAAUUUGGUCAUCACAUCACAUUCAAUAAAAAGUUUGCCUGAAUUGCACACGUAUGCAGAAGUUGAAAUCAGCCUAAAACAUUUUUGGAUCUGCCAAAAUCGGAUGAAUAAUCAAUUAUCCGGAAGACGAAAUUCACAAAAAGAAAGCACGAUCUUGUACUGGAUUUUGUUGCAAGUAUAAGUUCGAUUGAAUUUUUCCGCUGUAUAAGUGGGUGGAAUUUGGACGGAUCUUGGGGAUUGGGUUUGGAGCUGAACCUUUUUAUGAGGCCCCGUAAAUCACGAGGCCAAGGCAGCUGCCUAGUUCGCCUUGGGCCAAGGCCAGCUCUGAUUGACGGUUGUCUAUUUCAUAUUAUCAUUUCAGCAGAUGACAAUUCUACCUACCAAUGGUAGCAUAAUCUUCAACAAGAUAAUUGGGUGAACAUAAUUUGAAUACAACAAAUUGUAUGGACAUAUCCAAUUAAAAAAAUAAUUCUAAUAUGUGCUUGAGAACAUAAAUAACAUGACAAUAAAUUAUAGUUCUCACUAUGUAUUCUUGUCAAUCUCUAUUUAAAGAGCCCAAAAAUCCAUUAAUUUUCAUAUAAAAUACCUUUUAUACAUAUAUAUCUCUCUCCCAUGUAAAAUCAGCAUUUCUCGAUGAAAUGUACAACUCAUGAAUUGUGAAGAAGUCGUGCAAACAAGAAUAUGGUAUACUAAUAUUAUAUUAUAAACAAACAAAUAACAAA